GACGAACUUUGGCGGCGUGCUUAACACAUGCAAGUCGAACGGAAAGGCCCUGCUUUUGUGGGGUGCUCGAGUGGCGAACGGGUGAGUAACACGUGAGUAACCUGCCCUUGACUUUGGGACAACUUCAGGAAACUGGGGCUAAUACCGGAUAGGAGCUCCUGCUGCAUGGUGGGGGUUGGAAAGUUUCGGCGGUUGGGGAUGGACUCGCGGCUUAUCAGCUUGUUGGUGGGGUAGUGGCUUACCAAGGCUUUGACGGGUAGCCGGCCUGAGAGGGUGACCGGCCACAUUGGGACUGAGAUACGGCCCAGACUCCUACGGGAGGCAGCAGUGGGGAAUAUUGCACAAUGGGCGGAAGCCUGAUGCAGCAACGCCGCGUGCGGGAUGACGGCCUUCGGGUUGUAAACCGCUUUCGCCUGUGACGAAGCGUGAGUGACGGUAAUGGGUAAAGAAGCACCGGCUAACUACGUGCCAGCAGCCGCGGUGAUACGUAGGGUGCGAGCGUUGUCCGGAUUUAUUGGGCGUAAAGGGCUCGUAGGUGGUUGAUCGCGUCGGAAGUGUAAUCUUGGGGCUUAACCCUGAGCGUGCUUUCGAUACGGGUUGACUUGAGGAAGGUAGGGGAGAAUGGAAUUCCUGGUGGAGCGGUGGAAUGCGCAGAUAUCAGGAGGAACACCAGUGGCGAAGGCGGUUCUCUGGGCCUUUCCUGACGCUGAGGAGCGAAAGCGUGGGGAGCGAACAGGCUUAGAUACCCUGGUAGUCCACGCUGUAAACGGUGGGUACUAGGUGUGGGGUCCAUUCCACGGGUUCCGUGCCGUAGCUAACGCUUUAAGUACCCCGCCUGGGGAGUACGGCCGCAAGGCUAAAACUCAAAGGAAUUGACGGGGCCCCGCACAAGCGGCGGAGCAUGCGGAUUAAUUCGAUGCAACGCGUAGAACCUUACCUGGGUUUGACAUGGAUCGGGAGUGCUCAGAGAUGGGUGUGCCUCUUUUGGGGUCGGUUCACAGGUGGUGCAUGGCUGUCGUCAGCUCGUGUCGUGAGAUGUUGGGUUAAGUCCCGCAACGAGCGCAACCCUUGUUCACUGUUGCCAGCACGUUAUGGUGGGGACUCAGUGGAGACCGCCGGGGUCAACUCGGAGGAAGGUGGGGAUGACGUCAAGUCAUCAUGCCCCUUAUGUCCAGGGCUUCACGCAUGCUACAAUGGCUGGUACAGAGAGUGGCGAGCCUGUGAGGGUGAGCGAAUCUCGGAAAGCCGGUCUCAGUUCGGAUUGGGGUCUGCAACUCGACCUCAUGAAGUCGGAGUCGCUAGUAAUCGCAGAUCAGCAACGCUGCGGUGAAUACGUUCCCGGGGCU
RNAcentral lists this ribosomal RNA (1346 nucleotides) under uncultured bacterium. Its description in RNAcentral is "partial 16S ribosomal RNA". It matches the Rfam family "Bacterial small subunit ribosomal RNA", at positions 28 to 1381 of the family's 1533-position model. The record is from RNAcentral.